CAUUACGAACGCUGGCGGCGUGCUUAACACAUGCAAGUCGAACGGAAAGGCCCUGCUUUUGUGGGGUGCUCGAGUGGCGAACGGGUGAGUAACACGUGAGUAACCUGCCCUUGACUUUGGGAUAACUUCAGGAAACUGGGGCUAAUACCGGAUAGGAGCUCCUGCUGCAUGGUGGGGGUUGGAAAGUUUCGGCGGUUGGGGAUGGACUCGCGGCUUAUCAGCUUGUUGGUGGGGUAGUGGCUUACCAAGGCUUUGACGGGUAGCCGGCCUGAGAGGGUGACCGGCCACAUUGGGACUGAGAUACGGCCCAGACUCCUACGGGAGGCAGCAGUGGGGAAUAUUGCACAAUGGGCGGAAGCCUGAUGCAGCAACGCCGCGUGCGGGAUGACGGCCUUCGGGUUGUAAACCGCUUUCGCCUGUGACGAAGCGUGAGUGACGGUAAUGGGUAAAGAAGCACCGGCUAACUACGUGCCAGCAGCCGCGGUGAUACGUAGGGUGCGAGCGUUGUCCGGAUUUAUUGGGCGUAAAGGGCUCGUAGGUGGUUGAUCGCGUCGGAAGUGUAAUCUUGGGGCUUAACCCUGAGCGUGCUUUCGAUACGGGUUGACUUGAGGAAGGUAGGGGAGAAUGGAAUUCCUGGUGGAGCGGUGGAAUGCGCAGAUAUCAGGAGGAACACCAGUGGCGAAGGCGGUUCUCUGGGCCUUUCCUGACGCUGAGGAGCGAAAGCGUGGGGAGCGAACAGGCUUAGAUACCCUGGUAGUCCACGCUGUAAACGGUGGGUACUAGGUGUGGGGUCCAUUCCACGGGUUCCGUGCCGUAGCUAACGCUUUAAGUACCCCGCCUGGGGAGUACGGCCGCAAGGCUAAAACUCAAAGGAAUUGACGGGGCCCCGCACAAGCGGCGGAGCAUGCGGAUUAAUUCGAUGCAACGCGUAGAACCUUACCUGGGUUUGACAUGGAUCGGGAGUGCUCAGAGAUGGGUGUGCCUCUUUUGGGGUCGGUUCACAGGUGGUGCAUGGCUGUCGUCAGCUCGUGUCGUGAGAUGUUGGGUUAAGUCCCGCAACGAGCGCAACCCUUGUUCACUGUUGCCAGCACGUUAUGGUGGGGACUCAGUGGAGACCGCCGGGGUCAACUCGGAGGAAGGUGGGGAUGACGUCAAGUCAUCAUGCCCCUUAUGUCCAGGGCUUCACGCAUGCUACAAUGGCUGGUACAGAGAGUGGCGAGCCUGUGAGGGUGAGCGAAUCUCGGAAAGCCGGUCUCAGUUCGGAUUGGGGUCUGCAACUCGACCUCAUGAAGUCGGAGUCGCUAGUAAUCGCAGAUCAGCAACGCUGCGGUGAAUACGCUCCCGGGGCUUGUACACACCGCCCGUCAAGUCAUGAAAGUUGGUAACACCCGAAGCCGGUGGCCUAACCGUUGUGGGGGAGCCGUCGAAGGUG
Molecule: ribosomal RNA, 1432 nt
Filed under: uncultured organism
Description: partial small subunit ribosomal RNA
Rfam family: Bacterial small subunit ribosomal RNA
Source: RNAcentral